GAAAUCCAGUGGUGUUUUGACAGCAGUUGUGAAAUGUUUUUCUAUCGUCCAGCUGCUGAACACCCAUAGGAAACCUGACCGUGUAGCCUUUACUCUUAUUUUAAAAGCGUCUUUUUAAGUGCCUAAAAGAAAGUUCAAGUUUCUUCUUCGUUACACUUCGGAUUACAUAACUUGGUGUACACUUGCAAAUGUUGCGCUCUUUUCGAGGUCACACCCGGGAGAGUUGGGAAUGGGAUCCGGACAGUAAAUCUCCUGAUGCUCAUCUUUCUCUGUGUCGACAAGCCGUUUAUUUUCAUGUCAGCUCUCUGCUGGACAGUCAAGGUACUGCUGGAGUCAGAGGCACCAAAGGUUUCACUCAUGGUGAGCAUUACUGGGAGAUAGAGUUCCUUGAGCCUCCGUAUGGGAGCUCUGUGAUGGUGGGGAUCGGUACCCAAAAUGCACUUCUUCACACAGGGGAUCAAAAGUUUGUUAACCUCAUAGCACGAUUUGUUCUUAUGUGACGGAAACGGGCUUCCAUGUGUUCCUCCUGGGAGUACUCCUUUUCAUCUUUAACCAAAUCAGCCCAGCCCAGCUCCACUCAGAACAGACAUAUUCUCCCUCGGGCUGAUUGUACUCGACAACCUAAAAGCGAAUUACAUCAUCUAAUUAUCUGUGGUGAAUUUUUGUCCCAUCAACACCUCCUAGGCAUCGACAGUGAGAGUUGGGGUCUGUCAUACAAAGGCUUCAUCUGGCAUGAUGGGAGAAGUCGUAAAUACACAGAGCCGUUUUAUGAAACGAAUACCGUCAUCGGGGUUUUGCUGGACUUGAGCGCUGGGACGCUGACGUUCUUCCGGAAUGGAGUGAACCUUGGGGUGGCCUUCAGCGGCCUGGAGCAGGUCAGCAAGGCUCUGUAUCCUCUGGUCAGCUCUACUGCCCCUGAAACUGAGCUUCAGCUGGGUGUGAGGAGCCAGAGAAUCUCCUCCCUACAGGAACAGUGCAUACACAUAAUCACGCAAUCCCUUUCACAUUACAGGCAUGCACAUGAAUUACCAUUACCUACAUCUCUGCUCUGCCAAAUACACACACAGGCGCAUUUAUAAGCAGGGCACUGCCUGUUUUUCUAACUUCAAGUAACACAAUUCCAUCCAGUGUAACGCAUCCAUUUUAUAUGAAGCCUACCUCAAACAUGUAUAUUUUUAAUACAUAAAUUGAACAAAAAACAGCAUGUGUGACCUUUGUAAUCAUGUAUUAGUUUAUAUACAAUUUCUGCACUUUCUAGAUGAGGUUGUUUUGCAAUGAUCAUGUUCCAAAAUAAGAUGUAAUUACCAGUGUUUGUAAUUAGUUAGUUUUUUUUUAUACUCACAGGGUACGUAUUUUGGUGACAAAUACGUAAAUUAGAUAUCUGCUUUGUUAA
Puntigrus tetrazona (Sumatra barb) is the source of this 1393-nucleotide RNA transcript. It is a transcript of the gene named SPRY domain-containing SOCS box protein 3, with no coding region annotated. Lineage: Eukaryota; Metazoa; Chordata; Actinopteri; Cypriniformes; Cyprinidae. The transcript is spliced from 6 exons. The record is from RefSeq and is a predicted model, not a curated record.